Long non-coding RNA from Prosopis cineraria, 588 nucleotides. RefSeq lists it as uncharacterized. NCBI's taxonomy places the organism in Eukaryota, Viridiplantae, Streptophyta, Magnoliopsida, Fabales, Fabaceae. The transcript has 3 exons. The record is from RefSeq and is a predicted model, not a curated record.
CCACAUUGCUGACACCAUCAGCAGCUCGAAGCUUGGUCCAUCUCACACACCUCACAAUUGAAUGGUGCGAGGAAAUAGAGAAAUAAUAGCAAAGCAAGAGGGAGAGGAUGACGUGGACCAAGACAUAUCAUUUUCAAUAAACUGGAGCAUUUACGACUUUAUGGCUUGACAAAUUGAAGAGAUUUUGUGGCUAUAAUUAUACCUUCAAGUUUCCAUUAUUGGAUGAUGUCACUAUAAUGGAUUGUCCUCAACUCUCAACAUUCUGUCUUGGAGCUAUACAUACCCCGCGCCUUCAAAGCAUUAAAGCGGGUCAUCAAAACGAACAUAUUUGGAAGGGCGAUGUUAACGAGACCAUCCAAUAUCAUUUCACUGGUUCAAGAGGAUGGCGUUAUAUGUAGAAGGGGAAUGCUCAUUUAUUGGUGCAGGUUAUGUAUGUGGUGAUGUUGACCCUUGAUUAAAUAAGAUGACCAAUGUGUUAUGAUUGCAAGGUCUUCAUUCAACAACUGCAUCGUUUGCUUCAUUAAGACAUAUUGGUAUCAUUGACAUGUGGCUAAGAUUAUUAUGAAAGAUUGGUUUUUGAUGAAUGCA